This is a long non-coding RNA of Prosopis cineraria, 1107 nucleotides long. RefSeq lists it as uncharacterized. The transcript has 3 exons. Lineage: Eukaryota; Viridiplantae; Streptophyta; Magnoliopsida; Fabales; Fabaceae. The record is from RefSeq and is a predicted model, not a curated record.
AGGUCACCUAUGAUGUCCCGAACGAUGCAAACUUUAAGCAUCGGUUGAUGACCUGGGCCUACGAUCAUUGGAGGGGUUUCAAGACAUCAUUAGCUAAAAGAUUUACGCAUGUCGAGAUGUCAAAAGGGUAGCCUUGGCCUGAUCCUUGUGUCAAGUAUACAUUUUUAAAACCAGAUACUUUUGAUGAAUUCUUUAGGCUUAGGACUACGCCAAAUGCUAUGGAAAGAAGGAGAAAGGCUCAAGAAAUUAGAAGGAUCAAUAAUUGUCCUUAAACGAAAUCUUGUGGUGAUUAUGCGUUGACCGAUAAAGAAUUGAUAGAUGCUAAGAGGAGGAAGAGGGAAGAACAAGCUCAAUCUGAUCCUUCUAUUUUGCUGUCUCUACUAUCUCCAAUAUAUCACGAUGAGAGAUGGAUCCAUGCUUACCAAAAGAAGGAUGGGUCCUUUUCAAGCAAGCAUGAUGAGCUUAAGCAAAAACAAUCCGAUGGAUUAUUCAUUCCAGAAGGAAGAAAUGACAUCCUAACCAUUGCUACGAGGAAACUAGAUCAUCUUGGACGUGUUAGGGGAUUUGUAUCAGAGGUGAGCAUAAGAGAUGUAUUUAGACCACCUUGUCAAUCCCAUUCUUCAGGACUCGUGACUAGAGAAGAGAUGAAUGCGCUAUUGGCUUAGUCAAGGGAAGAGGCAAGGACAGAGGCAAAGGCUACCCUUAAAGCUAGGUGGUAAAAGAUGAAGGAGGAAAUAGUAAUGAUGGUGAACUCAAAUAAGGAUCUAAGUGUCUCGAUAUCCCACUCUCUAGCUUGUCAUCUAAGUACUAAAGGGAGUAACAUUGUUUUGAUUCCUUCAAAGGAUGACCCGGCCCCUGAGCUUGAUAAGCUAUGCUUCUUAUAUGUGGAUGAUCUGGAGAGACGCUUAGUAGCAUGAGGUCGGAUCCACGAGCGGUCAAAAUGCCACUUUCAAGAAGUUUAAGAAGAUGUUAAAAUCCAUAGAUAUACUAUCCUACUUCUACUUCAGUAUCUCUAGUGGUUGUAAGGUUCUUGCUAGUCUCUAAUGCUCAAUUUUAACCUUUUGACAAAUUAAACACUGAGGAACAAAAUCUAUAACAUCCCUUUUC